GGCAAAGAACAUCACCCCCCCCACUGAUGCAUAGGCCUAUCCACAAGUAUGGCUGUAUGCUGGACUGGUAGUCAGUGACGGGUAUGAUCCAAUUGCAGUGGUAACAACCUAAGACAGGAGGCUGAUGCCUGGAGGUCAGUUCAUCCCAUGACGGGUAAGAACCAUAUGUUGAAUUGGACAACCUACCAGGCAUGGUUCCUAAGCCACAUUGCUUGUUGUUUAAUCAGAAGGGGGGAGAUGCUGAGAGCCAUAGCUAAGUAGGUACACAUGGCAAUUUCCUUGUCAGCCUACCCCAUGUUGCUUAGAGGAAGGACUCUCCAUUGUGGAAAUGGGCUUGCCUUGGACCCAGGUCAUUUGCAGUGACAUUGCAUGACCAGGACGGAUCCGGGUUUGGGGCGGUUCCAGGUUUAAGGUGAUUCCUGCUGGGAAUAGGGCGUAUCCUGCUGCCUCAGGUGCCCACUCCUUGAGUUCCCGUUGAGUUCUCGCGGGAUUGAGAGAGUAUUUGGGAUGUAGAGUGCUGGUAGAAUUCCCCCAGAACAUGCAUGUAGAAUGCCGGUGAGAAGUCGGGAAUAAAGACU
RNAcentral lists this long non-coding RNA (578 nucleotides) under Marmota monax (woodchuck). Lineage: Eukaryota; Metazoa; Chordata; Mammalia; Rodentia; Sciuridae. The record is from RNAcentral.